UGAGCAAUCUGCCCUUCUCAUCGGAAUAAGCGUUGGAAACGACGUCUAAUGCCGAAUACGACCUCCUUUCGCAUGAUCGGGGGUGGAAAGCUCCGGCGGAGAAGGAUGAGCUCGCGGCCUAUCAGCUAGUUGGUGUGGGUAAUGGCCCACCAAGGCGACGACGGGCAGCCGGCCUGAGAGGGUGACCGGCCACACCGGGACUGAGACACGGCCCAGACUCCACGGGAGNAGCG
This 233-nucleotide ribosomal RNA is filed under the name uncultured bacterium. RNAcentral describes it as "partial 16S ribosomal RNA". It matches the Rfam family "Bacterial small subunit ribosomal RNA", at positions 118 to 347 of the family's 1533-position model. The record is from RNAcentral.